RNAcentral lists this ribosomal RNA (902 nucleotides) under Vibrio metschnikovii. RNAcentral describes it as "bacterial SSU rRNA". It matches the Rfam family "Bacterial small subunit ribosomal RNA", at positions 74 to 975 of the family's 1533-position model. The record is from RNAcentral. Lineage: Bacteria; Pseudomonadati; Pseudomonadota; Gammaproteobacteria; Vibrionales; Vibrionaceae.
UUGCUUUCUUGCUGACGAGCGGCGGACGGGUGAGUAAUGCCUGGGAAAUUGCCCUGAUGUGGGGGAUAACCAUUGGAAACGAUGGCUAAUACCGCAUAGUAGCUUCGGCUUAAAGAGGGGGACCUUCGGGCCUCUCGCGUCAGGAUAUGCCCAGGUGGGAUUAGCUAGUUGGUGGGGUAAAGGCUCACCAAGGCGACGAUCUCUAGCUGGUCUGAGAGGAUGAUCAGCCACACUGGAACUGAGACACGGUCCAGACUCCUACGGGAGGCAGCAGUGGGGAAUAUUGCACAAUGGGCGCAAGCCUGAUGCAGCCAUGCCGCGUGUAUGAAGAAGGCCUUCGGGUUGUAAAGUACUUUCAGUGGUGAGGAAGGUAGUAUGUUUAAUAGACAUAUUGCUUGACGUUAGCCACAGAAGAAGCACCGGCUAACUCCGUGCCAGCAGCCGCGGUAAUACGGAGGGUGCGAGCGUUAAUCGGAAUUACUGGGCGUAAAGCGCAUGCAGGUGGUCUGUUAAGUCAGAUGUGAAAGCCCGGGGCUUAACCUCGGAAUAGCAUUUGAAACUGUCAGACUAGAGUACUGUAGAGGGGGGUAGAAUUUCAGGUGUAGCGGUGAAAUGCGUAGAGAUCUGAAGGAAUACCGGUGGCGAAGGCGGCCCCCUGGACAGAUACUGACACUCAGAUGCGAAAGCGUGGGGAGCAAACAGGAUUAGAUACCCUGGUAGUCCACGCCGUAAACGAUGUCUACUUGGAGGUUGUGGCCUUGAGCCGUGGCUUUCGGAGCUAACGCGUUAAGUAGACCGCCUGGGGAGUACGGUCGCAAGAUUAAAACUCAAAUGAAUUGACGGGGGCCCGCACAAGCGGUGGAGCAUGUGGUUUAAUUCGAUGCAACGCGAAGAACCUUACC